CCCUGGAUGUCUCCUCUCUGGGACACAACCUGGACAUGCUGAAAGAUCAAGUAGAAUCUGGCCACACUCCUGACGCCCCUCGCCCCGGCUCCGAGCUCCUUUCUCCGGGCGCCACCACCACCAUGGCACGCCCAGGCUCCAACGCCAAACCCAUCCUGCCACCUAUCCUGUCGGGACGCAAAACCCCCGGACCCAGCCCUAAGCCCCAAACCCUGAGACAGGAGAGAGAGGGAGAUGAGGAGUGAAUAGGUACAGGAGAGAGGCAGAGGAGGAGUGAAGAGGUACAGGAGAGAGGAAGAGGUACAGGAGAGAGGCAGAGG
This is a long non-coding RNA of Oncorhynchus gorbuscha (pink salmon), 320 nucleotides long. RefSeq lists it as uncharacterized. NCBI's taxonomy places the organism in Eukaryota, Metazoa, Chordata, Actinopteri, Salmoniformes, Salmonidae. The transcript has 3 exons. The record is from RefSeq and is a predicted model, not a curated record.